RNAcentral lists this ribosomal RNA (1493 nucleotides) under Orbilia crenatofalcata. RNAcentral's name for it is "eukaryotic LSU rRNA". The stretch from base 578 to 1493 matches the Rfam family "Eukaryotic large subunit ribosomal RNA", at positions 1 to 937 of the family's 3401-position model. Lineage: Eukaryota; Fungi; Ascomycota; Orbiliomycetes; Orbiliales; Orbiliaceae. The record is from RNAcentral.
UCUUGGUCAUUUAGAGGAAGUAAAAGUCGUAACAAGGUUUCCGUAGGUGAACCUGCGGAAGGAUCAUUACCAAACAAACCGCGGCCUAAAAACCGCACACUCCGUCCGGGUUCGGGCCCAGCGGCAGUGUCAACCUGCUGUGAACCAGAGUCCUGUGCUUCGGCAGCGGGACCGGCCGGGUCAACCGGUCGGGCCGUGAGCCUGCCAGCAGCGAACUUUGCAAACCUGCAUCAAACCGGCAGUCGUUCACGCAUUCCGAAUGGAAUCAAAACUUUCAACAACGGAUCUCUUGGUUCUCGCAUCGAUGAAGAACGCAGCGAAACGCGAUAGUUAAUGUGAAUUGCAGAAUUCAGUGAAUCAUCGAGUCUUUGAACGCACAUUGCGCCCUCCGGCAUUCCGGAGGGCAUGUCUGUUUGAGCGUCAUCUCAACCCUCGUCUCUGGCGGUUUUGGGCUCCGAUCACCAACCGGGCCUUAAAGUUGAACGCUCCGCGGGCUGCCUGACCGGCGAACAUGGUGGAAUUGCUUCUGUUCCAACCGGUCGUGGCCGUCCGCCUGAACAAGAACCCCCUUCAGGUUUGACCUCAGAUCAGACAAGGAUACCCGCUGAACUUAAGCAUAUCAAUAAGCGGAGGAAAAGAAACCAACAGGGAUUGCCUCAGUAACGGCGAGUGAAGCGGCAAGAGCUCAAAUUUGAAAUCUGGGACCCUCGGUCUCCGAGUUGUAAUUUGAAGAGGACGCCUCGGGCGCGGUCACAGUCUAAGUUCCUUGGAACAGGACGUCGCGGAGGGUGAGAAUCCCGUACACGGCUGGUGACCUGCGCUCAUGUGUGGCCCCAUCGAAGAGUCGAGUUGUUUGGGAAUGCAGCUCAAAACGGGUGGUAAAUUUCAUCUAAGGCUAAAUACGGGCGAGAGACCGAUAGCGCACAAGUAGAGUGAUCGAAAGAUGAAAAGCACUUUGAAAAGAGAGUUAAACAGUACGUGAAAUUGUUGAAAGGGAAGCGCUUGCAAUCAGACUUGCGUUCGGUUGAUCAUCGUUCCUUCUGGUUCGUGCACUCUGCCGUCCGCAGGCCAGCAUCGGUUGGGACGGCGGGACAAAGGCGUCGGGAAUGUGGCUCCCUCCGGGGAGUGUUAAGCCCCUCGCGCAAUGCCGCCUGACCCGACCGAGGUCCGCGCUCACGCUAGGAUGCUGGCUUAAUGGUUGUAAGCGACCCGUCUUGAAACACGGACCAAGGAGUCUAACAUCCAUGCGAGUGUUUGGGUGUAAAACCCAUUCGCGAAAUGAAAGUGAACGGAGGUGGGAGCCGCAAGGUGCACCAUCGACCGAUCCUGAUGUCUUCGGAUGGAUUUGAGUAGGAGCAUGGCUGUUGGGACCCGAAAGAUGGUGAACUAUGCCUGAAUAGGGUGAAGCCAGAGGAAACUCUGGUGGAGGCUCGCAGCGGUUCUGACGUGCAAAUCGAUCGUCAAAUUUGGGUAUAGGGGCGAAAGACUAAUCG